ACGGAAGGCAGCAGUGGGGAAUAUUGCACAAUGGGGGAAACCCUGAUGCAGCGACGCCGCGUGAAGGAAGAAGUAUCUCGGUAUGUAAACUUCUAUCAGCAGGGAAGAAAAUGACGGUACCUGACUAAGAAGCCCCGGCUAACUACGUGCCAGCAGCCGCGGUAAUACGUAGGGGGCAAGCGUUAUCCGGAUUUACUGGGUGUAAAGGGAGCGUAGACGGAAUUGCAAGUCUGAUGUGAAAGGCAUGGGCUCAACCCGUGGACUGCAUUGGAAACUGUAAUUCUUGAGUGCCGGAGGGGUAAGCGGAAUUCCUGGUGUAGCGGUGAAAUGCGUAGAUAUCAGGAGGAACACCGGUGGCGAAGGCGGCUUGCUGGACAGUAACUGACGUUGAGGCACGAAAGCGUGGGGAGCAAACAGGAUUAGAUACCCUGGUA
Molecule: ribosomal RNA, 434 nt
Filed under: uncultured Blautia sp.
Lineage: Bacteria; Bacillati; Bacillota; Clostridia; Lachnospirales; Lachnospiraceae
Description: partial 16S ribosomal RNA
Rfam family: Bacterial small subunit ribosomal RNA
Source: RNAcentral